This 216-nucleotide long non-coding RNA is filed under the name Gallus gallus (chicken). Lineage: Eukaryota; Metazoa; Chordata; Aves; Galliformes; Phasianidae. The record is from RNAcentral.
GGUUCUUCGAUAAUGAAUGAAACCAAGUCUUCCAAGCAUUCUGACUUCAAGAGAAACUCGAUAAGUUUGCGAUUCUGAGCCUUGCACUCCUGCAGGACGUCCUCUUCAUCCAUCAACUCCUUCAGUGUUACAUCUUCUCUCUCUAGAAGUGUAUCUAUGUGGGAUGACGAAUGGAGAUCAAAUUUCCAAAACAUGCUGGUCUCGGCAAGAGCGUCA